Long non-coding RNA from Salvelinus sp. IW2-2015, 524 nucleotides. RefSeq lists it as uncharacterized. The record is from RefSeq and is a predicted model, not a curated record. Lineage: Eukaryota; Metazoa; Chordata; Actinopteri; Salmoniformes; Salmonidae.
AACUACCGGUAUGUAUCUAAUCCGGUUUCGGCAUGAGAAAAAUAUUAAUCCCAAAUUCCCGCGAGAAUUUGCGCACUAACGGAUACUGGGCAAUAGAAAUCAGAGAUCCGGUCAUGAAUGCGGAGCCACUCCCGAAAAUAACAAGGCGUUUGUGACACUUUCAUGCGUUCCAAUAUUGUCAUAAUUGUCUGUAGGUUCUAAAUUGUCUAUCAGCUUGGCUGUCCUUCAGAAAGUAGCUGAUUCUUGUACUCUACAGCUGUAUUUUCCUACAGUUAAUAAUAAUACUAGCAACAAAACAGAUUUAAUUCCUUAAAAUGAUAUUGCCAGAUGGAAGAAAAUAAUAAGCUUGAGAGAUCAUCCCGGACUUUGCCCCCUCUGCUGUAGCUGAGACGUCCCUGGAAGACAUAGUCUUAUUGUUCUAUGAUGUUUCUGACACUGAGACAGUCAGAGCCUUGUCCCAGUCUCUAGACCUGCCUGUCUGUGUGGUGGAUGACCUCCUGCCCUCUGAAGCUGUCAAUGAGAUG